This 396-nucleotide ribosomal RNA is filed under the name uncultured bacterium. RNAcentral's name for it is "bacterial SSU rRNA". It matches the Rfam family "Bacterial small subunit ribosomal RNA", at positions 28 to 414 of the family's 1533-position model. The record is from RNAcentral.
GACGAACGCUGGCGGCGUGCCUAAUACAUGCAAGUCGAGCGAAUUUACGAGAGCUUGCUCUCGUAAAUUAGCGGCGGACGGGUGAGUAACACGUGGGCAACCUGCCUAUAAGACUGGGAUAACUUCGGGAAACCGGAGCUAAUACCGGAUAAUUCACAUCUACUCAUGUAGAUGUGCUGAAAGACGGUUUACGCUGUCGCUUAUAGAUGGGCCCGCGGCGCAUUAGCUAGUUGGUGAGGUAACGGCUCACCAAGGCCACGAUGCGUAGCCGACCUGAGAGGGUGAUCGGCCACACUGGGACUGAGACACGGCCCAGACUCCUACGGGAGGCAGCAGUAGGGAAUCUUCCGCAAUGGACGAAAGUCUGACGGAGCAACGCCGCGUGAGGGAUGACGG